This 432-nucleotide ribosomal RNA is filed under the name Vibrio parahaemolyticus. RNAcentral's name for it is "partial 23S ribosomal RNA". It matches the Rfam family "Bacterial large subunit ribosomal RNA", at positions 582 to 1015 of the family's 2925-position model. The record is from RNAcentral. Lineage: Bacteria; Pseudomonadati; Pseudomonadota; Gammaproteobacteria; Vibrionales; Vibrionaceae.
GGCUUUGUCCUGUGACUGCGUACCUUUUGUAUAAUGGGUCAGCGACUUAUAUUCAGUGGCAAGGUUAACCAUCUAGGGGAGCCGUAGGGAAACCGAGUCUUAACUGGGCGUUCAGUCUCUGGAUAUAGACCCGAAACCAGGUGAUCUAGCCAUGGGCAGGUUGAAGGUUGAGUAACAUCAACUGGAGGACCGAACCGACUAAUGUUGAAAAAUUAGCGGAUGACUUGUGGCUAGGGGUGAAAGGCCAAUCAAACCUGGAGAUAGCUGGUUCUCCCCGAAAGCUAUUUAGGUAGCGCCUCGGACGAAUACUACUGGGGGUAGAGCACUGUUAAGGCUAGGGGGUCAUCCCGACUUACCAACCCUUUGCAAACUCCGAAUACCAGUAAGUACUAUCCGGGAGACACACGGCGGGUGCUAACGUCCGUCGUGGAG